This is a long non-coding RNA of Lolium perenne, 4188 nucleotides long. RefSeq lists it as uncharacterized. The record is from RefSeq and is a predicted model, not a curated record. Lineage: Eukaryota; Viridiplantae; Streptophyta; Magnoliopsida; Poales; Poaceae.
CGCUCCAUCUUCAUGACCCGUCCUUCCGUUUCAUCUCCCCUCCAUUAUUCCGUCACGGCGAUACCCCUUUAUCAUAGGCCCCUCCAUCCUCGCAGUCUCGCAUCCUCUCUAGCCCCCCGUUUAACGACGAUGGCCACAGCCCACAUGGUGUCUUUCUCGCUCUGCUAUCUGGUCCAGGCCGCCGCCGUUGCCCCAAAGAGGGAUAGUCUGUAUCUAGAGUGCCACCUCGAUUUGUUCCAGGAGAUGGAUGCUGCAGCGUAAGAUUCGUGAAGACCUGCCCAAUUAGUGCUCACUAAGCAGAACGAAUGUGUCAUGAGGUUCUUGCGUUCAUUAUGCAUCUCACGUGGUACAUUGGGCCUCACUUUUAGUUACCCACAUGUUCAUACCUAUCAUGUAAAGCUGAUUAUACCUAUCCAAUUCCUGGCGGUGUUACUCUACCACAGGUAAGCCCUCUUACAUUGCUCCUCUUUUUUGAUUAGUUUAUCACAUACGAUUAGUGCUAUCGGUUCAUGUUGUUUUGUGCAGCACAUGUAAUCUCAAUCACAGAUGUUGUAUUCAUAAUCUUAACUUUUUCGCUGUGUUUCAAUUCAGUCAAAGGUCGGUUACUCCUUGCUACAAUCAUCUUGAUGAUCUGCAGUCUUUUUAUUAGUAUGGAAUUACAGAGUAUGCGAUCAAUCAUCAGAUUCUCGAGGGAUAUUCUGAGCAUCGUUUAUGGGGAAAAAUACAGUUUCAAGAGCAUGCGCAGGCCCCAAUUCCCAAGUAUAUAUAGCAUCAGACUUCCUCUUCCACGGAUGGUAUGCAAGUUGACAUGGAACAAUAACAUUUACUUCAGGUUUUUCUACUAACCGUUUCGUUUCCCACUAUACCUCCAAUUUCAGUGGUAGCCAAAUUUCAUUAUUUUUUAAAUCUUUCAUGUAAUUAUAGCUGCUACCACGAGACUCCGAUAAUACAUGUACUGCAAGGCAAUGAACAUGUCGAAGUUUGAGGUGUCUCUUUCUACAUGCUAAUCAGGUCAUCUGCUCCAUUUUCCGCUGAGCACAUCUUGAUUUCCACUUUGUCUUUGCCACCAUUGAGAACAUCUGGAGUCAAAUGUACUUGCUCACCGUCAAAUGUACUUGCUCAGCUAGAGUCACGUAUAAGUUGGAUAUUCUCUCUCUUACUUAGUCACAUGUUGUAUCCUAAUAUAUUUAAGGAGUCUGUAAACUUACAUGGCCCGUUAUACUAUGGUUUCUAUCCAAUGUUGUAUAUAUCAUAUUUGUGCUUUUGAUUAUAUACAUUUAAAAAAAUUAUACUAUGUACUAAAAGCUUCCAUUAAAAAAAACCUUCAACCAUACUAUUUAAUUUGUGUUGCAUCUAAGGUGUUUCAAGUCUCGCAUCAACGCGCGGGGUAUCAUCUAGUUGUAUUGAAUAAACAAAUCUAAGCUAAUCAAAAAUAGUAAGAAUCUUAAAAUAAGCUGCCCAUGUGAAAAAAUCACUAGAAUAACAACAAUACUGAAGUAGAGUUGUUACUGAUAUUUAUAUGGGUAUAGGAGAUUGUGGGAGAAAAUUUUCUGCAUGUAGCUGUUCCAAAAAAUGGCUUAUAUUGUAUUAAGUAAAAAUUCAUUUCGCCAUCCAUUGUCUGUUUAGCAUUAUGUUAUUGGUGCUUUCAUUUAGAUGAAAAAAAAUUACCUGCGUCAGUACUGAAGAAAACUAGGCAGUUUCAUUCUUGCUGAUGAUUAUAUUUAAAAUAGAUAACUCUUCUUAAUAAGUAAUGGUAUUAUUAAAAUAAAUUAUGUUUUGUAAUCAACAAUUGCUUGAUCUAAUUUACAUUUUCCAUGGCAAUAUUAAUAUGAUAAAUUAUAUAUGCAUGCAAUGAAUCCUUGGGAAAACAAAUGCAUAUUUUAUUUUAUCAUAGAAAUGUAUCCAUGGAGAAAAAACAGUGCACACACUAAACACACGCACUGAAUUAGACAUUUAUUAGUUUAUGUAAAUUGUAUUAAGUUGGAUAACAAAUUAUUGUUCUUUCUAUUUUAGGGUUUGCACCGCCAGCAAAAGUCACAGGACCAGCAUAGACGGAUCUAGCAUGCCUAUUGGCUGGGCAGCCGCCCAGGCUUCCGGCCGGCCGACAAGCCUAUUUUGACCUCUACUUUAUAUGCAUUUAACAAAAAAAAAUAGCAUAUUAAGCUUGUUUGCCCGGGCUUCAAAAUCUUCUUGGAUCCGCCUAUGUGGACCAGGACAACUUUCUGCAAUAGAAAUUUCAAUAAAAACGUAUGCAGAAAAACCAAAAGAACUUGUGAUUAAUUCAGAGAAGGCAGUGGCUAAAAGAGAGGAGGAAGAGAAACAAUGUGAUUGGAUUGGAGUGGCCCAGACGACGCGUGUUGGGGUAAAUAUAGCAUCGCUCACUUCACUGUGCAACGGCACACCUAUUCUUCUGCAGGCACAGUGCGUAACAGUUGAAAUUUGGACACAGCUCGUGGAUUGGUGUCGGCACAGUGCCAUUGCAUGUGGAACUCAAUAAAUGCGCAUGGUAGUGAAUACAAAUCCGAAGCGGAUAUACAACACCAUAUACGGUAGACAAACUGAUUGAGUACGUCGGAAGGUACGGACAUGUGGAUGUCCAGACGACCAGAACGAACGGCUAGGAGCCUCUCCACCCGGCGGGAUCACUGAAGCUCGUCUGCUCGUGUGCCAUUAGCACUUUUCGGAAAGAUUGGGCCUAAAAAAUUCCUUUCAAGCCGAGCCAAAGUGAAUUUCCUGCAAUCCCCCUUGUACUAGUCCUACCCGGACUCCAAUCCGAAAGUACUCCCACGCGCUGCUAUACAUAUGCCUGUCAGACCUGAGCCCUCCGCCAAACCACCGACCGCCGCGGCCUCUAUUCUUCUGGGAGUAGCAACCCCCUCGACGGUCGACGCGUAGGUCCGAUCAUCUACCUGUCUUGCUCCAUCCGUCGUCGCUAGAUCGGGUCACAGCUACUCUUCUUCUUCUAGAAACAGCAAAGUAACAGCGACCACUGCAACGCCCCGAGGCGGGGAACAAAAAUUGCUCGUGCCCUAGAUUUGUACCUUAGUUCUUGAUAGUUUCCGAGUGUGCCGCAUUGACCAAAUUGCACCCCGAAUUGCAUCUUUGGCGAUUUCGAUCCAGUUGACUGGGAUCCGGUUUCCAAGGGGUUGAAGCAAAUCCUGUCUUGACUACACAAACUGAAGCUUGUUUUCUAUCUAAAAAAAGAAGGUACUCCAUUAAGGACUUAAGGAUACAAUGCAGCAAAAUAUUGAAGAUGAGCUGAAGGAGCUCAAGAACAAGGCUAGGUUCAUUUCCUGUCUUAUCAGCGGUGAAAUAAAAAUCGUUAUGAGGGACUUGGAAGAGCUGCUACAAGCCAUUAUAGCCAAGGGAUUUGAUCGCCUCCCAAAGGAAGGGUAGAUGAUAAGUAUGGACAUAGAUAUGGUGAGCAAUCCUGAUGUCGUCGAUUAUGCCUAUCUCAUCAGUAUGCGUGUUCGUUGCAUAAGCAAGGAGUACUUGUGUACUCUUGCUGAGCAAACGAAGAAAAUCGAAGCUGAACUCGCAAGAAAAGAUGCAAAACGUUUGCGCCACGGAGCUUGCAAGAAGGCUGAAUCAGAUAGAGAGGUUAUGGUAGACACGAGGAGCAAAGACAGUGAGAUAUUUGAUGCAGCACCCAGGACUGAAGCCAAUGCUUUUAAGAAGGAAGAUUAAUGCUAAUUGUAGCAAUUUUUGCAUACAUAGAAACUGAGGGCACACAAAGGUAUCAACAAAAGAGCAAAAGGAAUCAAGCAAUACAGGCGUACUAACAGCACAUCUUAAGACAGCCAAGCAAAGCAAACUGAUUGGUGCACAAUGGCAGUAUCGGAAGCUAUAGAACAGUUAUCAAAAAAAAUCAUAGGGCAAAAAACCAUCAGCCAAGAUCCUUUGUAGUUUGCCUGGUCUAUCUAGUCAGGCUGGUUCCACCACUGCACAGUGGUGCAAGCCCUUCAACGGGCACUGAAGACAUGGAGCCUUCACACUUCCAAUAAAAUCUGAAGCAUGUUGGCGAUGAGUCCUAUUUUGUAUCUUUGUACAGUAUAUAUGGUUGAUCAGAGAAAUUAAGAAGUCUUAAUUUUGAACAUGUAGUAGCUGAAUCUGAUAUUCCUUUUGUAGUUUUGUUGUGACAUAUGCGUUAUGUGUACAUCAAUUGGGUCGAGGUGUCGGCUGGUGUCU